CUCAUCGAUCACGUCGUCGGCGCCACCACCACGUACGCCCUCUGGACCAAGAUCCAGGCCUUCUUCCUCGCCAAUCGGGCUGCACGCUUCAUGGUGCUCAAUCGCUAGUACCGCAAUCUGAGACAAGGCGAUCUCUCCGUCACCGAGUACGCCCGUCGCCUGAAGCUCCUCACCGACGGCCUCGCCGACAUCGAUCACGCCGUCAAGGAGGUGGAUCUUACCACCCAAUUCCUCCACGGCCUCGACAAGCGCCUCGACACCAUCCACGUCGUCCUCGGCGAUCAGGCCUCCACCAUGCCGCUCCCUCUGCAUCGACCUGGAUGGGUGCCGCCCAACUCCGCCGGGGUUCUCGGCCCCCGCCCCGGCUCCCAUGCCCAUGCCUACCCGAUGUACCACUCGGCGCCUCCACCGUCCUCCUCGUACUACCCUCCACCGCCACCAUCAUGGGAGCACCUCGCCAUGUUGAAUGCCGCCUACAGCAACGACGGCCUGCCCCAACCUCCCUCGACGGACUAG
Molecule: ribosomal RNA, 516 nt
Filed under: Triticum aestivum (bread wheat)
Lineage: Eukaryota; Viridiplantae; Streptophyta; Magnoliopsida; Poales; Poaceae
Description: partial small subunit ribosomal RNA
Source: RNAcentral